RNAcentral lists this long non-coding RNA (608 nucleotides) under Bos taurus (domestic cattle). Its description in RNAcentral is "long non-coding RNA NONBTAT022430". The record is from RNAcentral. Lineage: Eukaryota; Metazoa; Chordata; Mammalia; Artiodactyla; Bovidae.
GAGGUAAAGAAAACCAAACUAGGGAAAAGAAGCAUGUUUUAUAGGCUCUAAAAUAAUGUUUAGAAACUGAACUGGUGGUGUUCCUUGUAAAGAGUGUAUUUGCACAACCCUAGGUCCUGGUGCCUUGAGCUCCUCCUAGUUUUGAAGAGAAAAUUCCGUCUGAGGGACCACAUGAAGUAAAAUCUCUCGACUAAGACCUCACAAGAGCCUGCCAUGGCCCUUCCACACACACACCCCCACACACCAUUCAGAACAUGUCCUUUUGCCAACCUUUGUAGUAUUAAUGGUUUUCUUGAUUCUUUACUCCAAUUUCUUUUCUCUGAACCAUUUAUUUACCAUGUGCUUGGGGAUUUCUACCCUUUUCUAAAGUCUUAGUGAAAGGACAAGAAUGCCUAUUCUCCUGAAUGCAGCCACUGGGAACGGCAAGUUAAAAGUCUGGUUUCCAACUCUGUGCCCGUCUCUGCUUCUCAUGAUUUUGCCCCGACCGGGAACUGUAACACAGCGAGACCAUUCACUCUUGUAGUGUGCUGUUGAGCUACAGGCCCUUUUAUACCAGAACUCUCCUUAGGGACAUGUUAACCAUUUGGCCCAGCUGUCUCCUAGGGAAC